This 67-nucleotide transfer RNA is filed under the name Sipunculus nudus (marine worm). Its description in RNAcentral is "tRNA-Gly". Lineage: Eukaryota; Metazoa; Annelida; Sipuncula; Golfingiida; Sipunculidae. The record is from RNAcentral.
ACUUCUUUAGUAUAACAAGUACCUCUUCCUUCCAAGUAGAAAGCCUAGUACACCACUAGAAGAAGUA